AGCCCCACAAUGGGCCAAGAGACACCUUCUUGGCAGUGUUGUUCUUUUAUAUCAGUCAGGGGCAAAGCAGACGGCAGCCCUUUGUUCAUCCUAGCUUGAUGCCUGAUUUGGUGCCUAAAGCUGUCUUAUGCCUAGGACACAUAA
Rattus rattus (black rat) is the source of this 144-nucleotide small nucleolar RNA. RefSeq annotates it as small nucleolar RNA SNORA48. The record is from RefSeq and is a predicted model, not a curated record. The transcript has a single exon. NCBI's taxonomy places the organism in Eukaryota, Metazoa, Chordata, Mammalia, Rodentia, Muridae.